UAUGUGAUCGUCUCUCGCAUAUCAAUAAGCGGAGGAAAAGAAACUAACAAGGAUUCCCCUAGUAACGGCGAGUGAAGCGGGAAGAGCUCAAAUUUGAAAUCUUAAAGGGUUUCCCUUUACGAAUUGCUAGUUUAAAGAAGUGUUUUCUGUUGAGGUUUUGGUAAAAGUUCUUUGGAAUAGGACAUCAUAGAGGGUGAGAAUCCCGUAUUUGACCUUUACUUUCAACUUUGUGAUACACUUUCAAAGAGUCAGAUUGUUUGGGAAUGCAGUCCAAAAUGGGUGGUAAAUUUCAUCUAAAGCUAAAUAUUGGCGAGAGACCGAUAGCGAACAAGUACCGUGAGGGAAAGAUGAAAAGAACUUUGAAAAGAGAGUUAAACAGUACGUGAAAUUGUCAAAAGGGAAGCGUUUGACACCAGUGUUGUUUUUCUGAAAAUCAAUUAAAGAACUGUUUAUGCUAAGCUUGUUUAGACUUUAUCAGCUAAUCUGUUUAGUUUUGAGCUUUUCUUUAAUGCACUUUUCAGUUAACAAGUCAACAUCAAUUUCUUUUGCUGUAAAAAAGCUUGAGGAAGGUGGCUUGAGAUUCGUCUUAAGUGUUUAUAGCCUCUUGCCUAUGCAGUCGGAGAGAUUGAGGUCUGCAGCGUAGAUCCUUCGGGGCUAAAUGCAUUUGUGCUAAGUUAUAGCAUUUUAUAGACAACUUGUUGACUAUGAUUUGUCUUGUAGCUUACUCGCUUAUGUUAUUUUACCUACGCUUAGGAUGUUGAUCUACAGAGCGAGAGU
This 777-nucleotide ribosomal RNA is filed under the name uncultured Neocallimastigales. RNAcentral's name for it is "partial large subunit ribosomal RNA". It matches the Rfam family "Eukaryotic large subunit ribosomal RNA", at positions 24 to 635 of the family's 3401-position model. The record is from RNAcentral. Lineage: Eukaryota; Fungi; Neocallimastigomycota; Neocallimastigomycetes; Neocallimastigales.